CAACCCUGCCCUUCGGAUGGGGAUACAGCCGGAAACGGCUGCUAAUACCGAAUACGAUCUUUUCGUCGCAUGACGGAAAAGAAGAAAAGGAAUGGCCUCUAUACAAAGCUAUCGCCGAAGGAGGGGUUUUGCGUCUGAUUAGCUGGUUGGAGGGGUAACGGCCCAACAAGGCGAUGAUCAGUAGCCGGUCUGAGAGGAUGAACGGCCACAUUGGGACUGAGACACGGCCCAGACUCCUACGGGAGGCAGCAGUGGGGAAUCUUCCGCAAUGGACGAAAGUCUGACGGAGCAACGCCGCGUGAGUGAAGAAGGUCUUCGGAUUGUAAAGCUCUGUUAUACGGGACGAAAAAGACGGAUGCCAACAGUAUCCGUCCGUGACGGUACCGUAAGAGAAAGCCACGGCUAACUACGUGCCAGCAGCCGCGGUAAAU
RNAcentral lists this ribosomal RNA (431 nucleotides) under uncultured Lactobacillus sp. Its description in RNAcentral is "bacterial SSU rRNA". It matches the Rfam family "Bacterial small subunit ribosomal RNA", at positions 121 to 525 of the family's 1533-position model. Lineage: Bacteria; Bacillati; Bacillota; Bacilli; Lactobacillales; Lactobacillaceae. The record is from RNAcentral.